Trachymyrmex septentrionalis is the source of this 1049-nucleotide long non-coding RNA. RefSeq lists it as uncharacterized. Lineage: Eukaryota; Metazoa; Arthropoda; Insecta; Hymenoptera; Formicidae. The transcript is spliced from 4 exons. The record is from RefSeq and is a predicted model, not a curated record.
CGGCGAACUGGAAAUGAUUAAUCGUCAUUUAUGAGCGUUAGUCGGACAUAUAAUAUACGCUAUAACAAACCUUCUGUAAAUACAUGCUGCAAGAAAUUGAACCUAACCUAACCGGUACACGACGCUGGCUAUUUCUCCACAUACAUUCUGUACAUAUAUAAAUAUCAAUGAUGGAUCGCUUUGCGAGCGCUUUGCAAAUAUCGAUUGGCCUGUGGUAAUUGCUUAAUAAUUUGCUACCGGUGACAGACGACUGUUUAGAUGGAUAAUGAGCGAGUCUAAUGACACGGAUGUUUUGCUUCUGAUCGCUUGAUGUAUUCCACGUACCGUCUUCCGACUCUGACACCAGUUUGAGCAAUCAUGUCAAAACGGUUUACGGAAGGUCCGGUGUUAUCUCGGAGCUGGUAGAAUAUAUGCAAUCAUUGGAGUCUUGAAUUUCUACGAUUGAGUCCAGAGAUAAUUCAUUGUUUGUAUCCAUUGACGACACUAAGAAAGCAGAAAAAUUAGCUAAAGAUGAAACCAAAUCUGUUGCAGAACAAAAGGAAAAAAUCAGAGCAGAGUUACAAAAGGUUUAUCAGAAAUAGGUGGAUGAGUUGAUAAAAGCAAAAUUGCAAGAAUUUCAAAUGCAACUUGAUAAUGCCAAAUCAGAAUUUUUAGAGGAAUUAAAAACAAGAUAAAAUGCAGAAAUGCAGUUAGUAAAAGAAGACAAAGAUUCAAAACCCAGAAGUAAUAUUUCGAGUCCGCCAUUAGGAUGCAGAGAAGAACCGCGGAAACAUUAUUUAAAAAAGGAAUUGAGUAUGAGUGAGGAUAGCGUCACAUGGCAAUAAAAUCCCAAGAUGUAUACACGAUAUUAGUGAACAUGUACCACUUCCGUAAAAAAUGCUUACAAAAAUGGAUCAGAAGAACAAGUCUCCUUGAAAAUGUAUAACAUAUAAUGAUAAUGAUUCCGAAAGCAUUGCUGAGCUCGAUUAUGGCAACUGAAUUCAGAGUACAGUGUACUUAGCAAUAAUAAAUUUUUUUAUAUGGAACAAAUAUCAAUUUAUUUUUUUCUG